UUAUCUUGGGUUCCCUCAAAAACUAGAGUCUGAUACAAGGGUUUGGAUGCAAUUAGUUUGUUGUGAAAGUAAUUCCAGAGGACAGGAGUGUGAGGAUGGAGAAGAAUGGUAAAUAGAAGGAAAGAAAGCCAAGCCAAGCAUGCGUUUUUUGAGCUGGUCACCACUAUGGGCACCUGGAGCUUUGUCCUGUUGAGAGUUUUUAGAGAGCUGUGUAAAUUGUGCUUCAGAAUUGUCAGAAUUACGCAACAUGAAAGAGUUGAUGAUUGAGUCACUGGCUCUAUCCCUCAGUGAUAAAAGGUUGCUCCAGUGAGUGGCAACUCCUUCACUCUUCCCAGUCAGUGCCUGUGCCAAAAUAGCUGAAUGGGUGUCUGCAGGCAUCCUGGGUGGUGGCAGCGGCAGAGUAUUCCUACUGCGAAAGCAGGAGAUUCUCCGUGCACUUGAGGGAAGACCAUGACAGAACAUAGCUGGCUGCAGCAGCAAAGGCUGGAGCAAAAAGUCCUAGGUGCUAAGUACUUUAAAAAUCGGGAUGUGGGAUAAAUUGGCAUUAUGUGUCCUCUGAAAUGAUGCACUGAGAAAAAGACAACAUCACUUCUGUGAUAAUUCCACCAAAAGUCAUAUCCUGAAUCUAAUCAUCAAGAAACGUGACAAACCCAAACUGAGGGACAUUCUGCAAAAUUUAAGGAAAUAUAUGCUGAAAUAUUUAAGGAUAAUGGAGCAUCAUGGCUGAAAGACUCAAAGAGAAAAUGAUAAUCAAAUGUUCAUGUUUGAGGAAUCUGGUGAAGGGUAUAUGGAAAUUCUUUAUUCAGUUACUGCAAAAAAGUUCUGAAAUUAUG
Camelus dromedarius (Arabian camel) is the source of this 833-nucleotide long non-coding RNA. RefSeq lists it as uncharacterized. Lineage: Eukaryota; Metazoa; Chordata; Mammalia; Artiodactyla; Camelidae. The transcript has 3 exons. The record is from RefSeq and is a predicted model, not a curated record.